This 5090-nucleotide long non-coding RNA is filed under the name Lupinus angustifolius (narrow-leaved blue lupine). RNAcentral's name for it is "long non-coding RNA (LANG_LNC000939)". Lineage: Eukaryota; Viridiplantae; Streptophyta; Magnoliopsida; Fabales; Fabaceae. The record is from RNAcentral.
AGUAUGCAUUACAAAUCUCAACUUCUUCUAUAUAUGUUUUAUAUGCAUUACAAAGUGACAUCGUUUUACUACAAGGUUUUAGCAAUAGGUUCCUCUUUUCUUUUGUUUUUGUCAAUUUGUGUCACUAAUCGUAAUUGAUGAUAGAAACUGGAUCAUGACGGGUAGAAUUAUGUCGCUGAUGAAAUUUUUAGCACAAAGUACAUGUAAGCUCUUUUUUUAAAGGUGGGGAUGUUGGUGCUGUUAGACUUGCAAGUAAAUUUCCCUCUAUCCUUUGUGGAUUCCUCCUAUUAUUCUUAUCCAUAAGCACAACAUUUAUUUUAAUGCAGAAUAAUGAGCAAAUUAUUUUGUUUUGCAGCUAGAAUAAAAACUGCAGAAAAUGCAGAAUAAGCUAGAGAGUCUAAUAUGGGAUCAGAAGGAACUUCAAGAACGUUUCCAAAUGGUUGUUAAAGAACACAAAAUGAUGGAGUUGCUACUAACGGAGCUUGAAGAGGAGCAUGAUAUGGCCAUUGCAAAAAUUGAAAAAUUACAGACAAAGGUAAAUUAUUUUGUAUUCGUGUGCAUACCUUGUACUAUCUUCUUAUAUAUCUAUUGAACUAUUAACAUGAUCUGAAUGUUGGAAGUUAUCACUUGCUUCAUGCCACCUGUGAAAAGUCUUCUAGUGUUGAGGUCACGUAUGAUAUUUUGCUGCAAGAAGGACGGCUUGUUAAAUUCCCUACUUCAUUUACUUGUACUUGUGCACUAAUUUCAGGUAGUUGUACAUCCACAUUGGUGAUUAUGGACAAAGACCAGGUAACCUUACUCUCUUGACUCUUCAUCUUGUAUUAAGUUUACAUUAAUUUAUAGACUAGCUUCUGGUUGACAUUAUAGGUUGCCAAACUGAUAAACAAUGAACAAUAUGUUUAGUAGAAAUUAUAAUCAGAACUACUGUCUUUUUCUUGCCAGAAAUUGAAGUCAGUAUUCACAAGUAUUAUUCGUCUGGUGGACUUGGGGAAUUAAUAAGGAGAAAUCCAAGAUCAACCAAUCUCUUCCAAAAGCAAUAUGAUUUAUUAGUAGAAACUGUUACCCAUAUUUCUGUCAUUUUUCUGAAGUUGGCAUCAGCUCCAUGGGAUUGAAAACUUGUCCUGAAACUUGCUGAAGAUGCCAUGCGUUCAAGAUAUGACCAAAGAUUAUGAAAAAUAGAUGUUGGGUAACAUUUUCUUGAAUAUGCUAAAAUUAUUUGUUUUUGUUUGUUUCCUACCGAUUCUGGUUACCUUUACUAUCAUUGUUUUGCCCAGUUUUCUGCUUGCUUUGUCAGGUAGAAUUUAAGUUUCUGUAAUUGCUUCCAUGUACAGGAAGGUUUUCUUGAUAUUGUGCUUUUUUUCUUAGCACACAAGAAUUGAGUUAUGGAAUGUGAUGGUAAUGGUAUGUUUCUUGAAAUUAUUCCAUGUUUCUCUUCAUCCAUCACGUUCAUCUUCUUUCUAUUUAAUACUCCAUUUUGUUGAUAAAUGAUAAUAGUCCAUUUUGAACAGAUGUUUACAUCGAAGAAAGAAGAUGCCAAAAUCGAAAAAGUAAUUCGACUUCCUGCAAAUUGAAGAUGCAUCAACUGCAAUGUCUUGGUAACAUUUUCUGUAUUCAUGAACCUCAACUUACCCUAGAAUUUGUGAAAUAUAGAUAAUUUUGUUUAAAUUGAAUCAGGGACUACAAUAUGUGUGUACAACUUUCAACACCUUUGUCUGCAUAAAUUGCAGUGGAAUACAGUAUGCAUUACAAAUCUCAACUUCUUCUAUAUAUGUUUUAUAUGCAUUACAAAGUGACAUCGUUUUACUACAAGGUUUUAGCAAUAGGUUCCUCUUUUCUUUUGUUUUUGUCAAUUUGUGUCACUAAUCGUAAUUGAUGAUAGUUACAUCAUCACGUGUUUUUCCUUCUAAUUUCUCUCAAUUUUUUAUCUCAUCCAAGAAACCUGUCUCUCUUUUCUCUCAGUUCUCUAUCUACUGCAUGAAAUCCUAAAAUCAUGAUGCAAUUUCUUACUCUGUGAUGGUAAAGAAACAUAUUAUGCCAUGUUGCUUAAGCUAAUAAUGAAACAUGAAAUAGAGAAUGAAAGAGAGAGGUUUUUGUAGUGUUUCCAAUCCUUUUCUCUCUCAAUUUUCAUUAUUCUGCAUGAAUUCCUAAAAUUCUCGAGGCAAAUUCUCAUUAUCUGAUAAUGACGUGAUAUUCUUGAAUUUCAGCUGAUAACGAAAUGCGAGAAAGAGAUAGAUUUUGAAUUAUUCAUGCCUUACAGAUAAGCAAUGCUGCUGAGAUCUGUUCAUAAGAGUUAUGAUGUAUAAAUUUUAAUUAGCAAUACUUUUUAACUACAAUUUUCUUCAUAUUUAUCGUGAUACUUAAUGUCUUGUACUCUUUUUUAACACAUCUAUUCUCUUGUUGUUCAGGAUACCCACUUGAUAAUGUUAGGCAUUUGAUAAAGGAUUGAGAUUGGCCACUGACAAUUACAAUAUGAGCAAUAAGAUUGGGCGAGAAGGUUUUGGAACUGUUUUCCGGGUACACCUCACAGUUCUUGUAUAAGUUGUAAACUUUUGGGAUUAAUAUGUAUGUUAGCCAGUUGAACUUGCCAAAAUGAUUCUUUAGAGGAGUUUAUGAUAGUAGACCGACUAAUAUUUGUUACUUUUAUUUUUCUUCCUAUCUUUCUGUGAUUCUGAGUUAAGAUUGUUCAGAGUUUUGGGUGAUGUUUUUCUGAUUUAGGUGCAGGGAAUGCUUCAAUUGUAUGAGAUAAAUUCUAAAAUGAAAAUUUGUUCAUCUCCACUUUAUACCCCCUCCCCACACCAGGUCAUAUUCCUUUGGGACAACAUAAAAGUUGGUGGGCUAUAAAAGUUGAAAUGACAAUGCUAGGCAAAGCAGGGACACCCACCCCACUUGUUACACCAACUUUUCUAUUCUUCUUUUGCAUAUCACUAACUUCUUUAGCAUAAAGUUGAGCAAAAAUUAAAAAAAGUGAUCCCUUUGAUUUCUCUGCUAUGUUAAUAUCUUUUGCAACUAAAGACAAUAUCAUUGGAUGAUAAUAUUGCGAUUUUCUUGAACUUCAGCUGAUAAUGAUGUGGUUUUCUUGAACCUGAACAGAUAAUAUUGCGAUUUUCUUAAACCUCAACUGAUAAUGAUGUGAUUUUCUUGAACUUCUGGUGGCAUGAUGUGAUUUUCUUGAACUUCUGUUGAUAAUGAUGUGAUUUUCUUGAACUUCAGCUGAUAAUAUUGCAAUUUUCUUAAACCUCAACUGAUAGGAUGAGUAUUGCAUGCAAGAUGAAUGGUUGUGAGGAUGAAUCUUGAUGCUAUGUUAGACUCUAGUUGCUUAUAAUUUUGAAUUCAGAUGGACCCUGAUUUUAAAAAUUACCUGAAGUGCAAUUACAAUUUAAAUCCUCAAUUCAUAGUGUAAAAUUGGGAUAUACUUGAGUCAUUGGUGGCCUUCGAUGCAAUUGGAGUUUGAAUUCUUGGUUCAUAAUAUGAAUUGGGAUGCUGUGCUUGGGAGAUCAACCAUCCUAUAAUAUAGCUGCUGAGUGCUGAAUGUACCGGUAUCAUUGUUACUUGUACUUGUGCGCUAAUUUCAGGUAGUUGUACAUCACAUUGGUGAAAUUUCUGGAAGUCCAUGGACAUACAUGUCCUAUGCUUUUAUGAUUGUCCAAAGACUGCUUUGAUGUAUGAUAUGCUAUGAUACUCAAGAACUUUUUGGAGACCCUUUUGGAGAAGUCGCCAAGACCAUGUUGGAAUAUGUAUUAUUCCAGCAAAAUGUGGUUAUAUUUUUUGUUUUUUUCCUGUAAUUUUUUUCUGGCUUUAUAAGCUAUGACUGUAUUUUUGUCUUGUGGAUUCUUUUGAUAUUUUCUAUCAAUUUCAGUAAAAAUUGCAUGGUAAUAUUUCUUCAGUAACAUUCCACUGACAUGCUAUGAUGCUCAGGACUGUUCCUUAUUUAAGAAUUAUUUUGUCAAGAGAACCAUUUUUAUGUGCACUGAUAUUACUAGCAUGUGAAAAUUUGCAAUAUUUUACUAAUUGCCAUUUGUAAUCCCAAAACAGGCAAAGGGCAUGUUAAAAUUUCCAACGAUCACAAUAUGGAACUGCAUCUUUUCAUAUAAGGGUUGGUGGACCUGUGAUGUUUGGAAAGUCUUCAUCUUUACGUUUAAUUUUGUUAGACAAUGGCAUGUUCAAGGAGAAACACCAACAGUUUCUCUCUACUCUCAAAACAGAGUCACACCCUUAUGUGUUCCAAUAACAAUGUGACUCCUCUUGCUGAUGCUCCUCAUCGUUUCAAUGCUGUGAUGUGGAUUUCUAAGGUUUCAGUGAUCUAUGGUUUCACUGCUUUGACCACUGAUCUUGCUGUUAACUACUUUGAUAGGUUUAUCACCAGCCUAAGGUUUCAAAUGGAUAAGCCAUGGAUCACUCUCUCACUGCUGUUGCUGGUUUAUCUCUUGCUGCCAAAAUGGAAGAGACCCAUGUUCCACUUCUUUUAGGCCUACAAGUAUGUUCUUUUAAUUAAAGGUUUUGGCAGUGGUUGAUCCAUGGAUAUGACAGGAUGGAAUGAAUCAAAAUGUUCUAUUUUGUAGUCCUUUGUCUUGUUUUGAUUAUAUGUUCGAAAGCAUCAAACAUAAAAUGAAACUCAUAUUCUACAAGAUUUCGUCAUGUUAAACAUGUCUAUCAAACAUUAAUGAAGUGCAGGUGGCCUUCUAUGCAAUUUUAGUUUGAAUUCUUGGUUCGUAAUGUGAAUUGGGAUGCUGUGCUUGGAAGAUCAACCAUCCUAUAAUAUGGCUGCUGAGUGCUGAAUGUGCUGGUAUCAUUGUUACUUGUACUCGUUUUUUAAGGGUGGGGAUGUUGGUGCUGUUAGACUUGCAAGUAAAUUUCCCUCUAUCCUUUGUGGAUUCCUCCUAUUAUUGUUUUCCAUAAGCACAUCAUUAUUUUAAUGCAGAAUAAUGAGCAAAUUAUUUUGUUUUGCAGCUAGAACAAAAGCUGCAGAAAAUGCAGAAUAAGCUAGAGUGUAAUAUGGGAUCAGAAGGAACUUCAAGAACGUUUCCAAAUGGUUGUUAAAGAACACAAAAUGAUGGAGUCUCUAGUCACAGAGCUUGAAGAGGAGAUCAACU